GAUGAACGCUGGCGGCGUGCCUAAUACAUGCAAGUCGAGCGAACAGACGAGGAGCUUGCCCCUCUGACGUUAGCGGCGGACGGGUGAGUAACACGUGGAUAACCUACCUAUAAGACUGGGAUAACUUCGGGAAACCGGAGCUAAUACCGGAUAAUAUAUUGAACCGCAUGGUUCAAUAGUGAAAGACGGUUUUGCUGUCACUUAUAGAUGGAUCCGCGCCGCAUUAGCUAGUUGGUAAGGUAACGGCUUACCAAGGCAACGAUGCGUAGCCGACCUGAGAGGGUGAUCGGCCACACUGGAACUGAGACACGGUCCAGACUCCUACGGGAGGCAGCAGUAGGGAAUCUUCCGCAAUGGGCGAAAGCUUGACGGAGCAACGCCGAGUGAGUGAUGAAGGUCUUCGGAUCGUAAAACUCUGUUAUUAGGGAAGAACAAAUGUGUAAGUAACUAUGCACGUCUUGACGGUACCUAAUCAGAAAGCCACGGCUAACUACGUG
Molecule: ribosomal RNA, 497 nt
Filed under: uncultured bacterium
Lineage: Bacteria
Description: partial 16S ribosomal RNA
Rfam family: Bacterial small subunit ribosomal RNA
Source: RNAcentral